GAAGAUAACGUCAUUGAAGUGACGGAAGCAGAUCUAAAGGACGACCAAAGAGAAGAUCUGAAUCAGUAUUUGGAGCAAGUCCGGAAAACUUGCUUGAAAUCCUUCAGUCGUUCCAGGAGCGGGGAAACUGUUAAAAAGUCUCCUUUCCCUACUCCCCGCCAGAUCACAAUUUCAGAAGAUUCGGAUAAAAUGUCCGAUAUGAUUCAACAAUCUCUUCAUCACGCCUUCAUCAACCAAUCCCCG
Molecule: long non-coding RNA, 243 nt
Filed under: Setaria viridis
Lineage: Eukaryota; Viridiplantae; Streptophyta; Magnoliopsida; Poales; Poaceae
Description: long non-coding RNA (SVIR_LNC007546)
Source: RNAcentral